GUCCACGCCGUAAACGAUGCCGGCUCGUUCUCUGGGUGCCGUUAAGGCGCCUGGGGGGCUAAGCACACGCGGUAAGCCGGCCGCCUGGGAACUACGAGCGCAAGCUUAAAACUCAAAGGAAUUGACGGGGGCCCCGCACAAGCAGCGGAGCGUGUGGUUUAAUUCGACGCAACGCGAAGAACCUUACCCAGGUUUGACAUGCAUCUGCAAGCCGGUGAAAGCCGGUCGCCUUCGAGGGUGAUGCACAGGUGCUGCAUGGUUGUCGU
Molecule: ribosomal RNA, 266 nt
Filed under: uncultured bacterium
Lineage: Bacteria
Description: partial 16S ribosomal RNA
Rfam family: Bacterial small subunit ribosomal RNA
Source: RNAcentral